UCGUCGGCCAACACACCCGCCCUCCAUCUCAGAUCCCAACAGGAGAGCAAGUAAGAGGAUAACGUGAUGCCUCCAGGCCACAGCAGCUGCACCACCCGAUGGACUCUCCAGGCUCUGAAUGAGGACAGGUGAUUGCAUCAUCAGCUUGUCAGCAAGUCCGGUCUAACCAGUAGCCAGUAUGAUAACCUGUUGGUUUGGAUUGGUCCAAGAUUAAAUAUUUCAACUUUUUUUUUUGCAUCUUUUGCGUCUUCUGCGCAACCAUUCACGUCUGUGCGUUGACUUUGCAUGGAAGCUGCUUGCGCUUUUAGUGUGAACGCAGCAUAAGCGCGUUCUACCAAAAAAAACAUUUAGAGAGAAAUGCAAGAUGAGAAUGGAGGAAGCCAAAUGAGCUUAAGUGACGACAGUAUCCUUUUUGUCUGGUUGCCACCAAUGGAACAAAUAAAAGAGACUCCCAGACAGCUGGAACAAUGUGAAACCAUGGAGAGACCCUACAAAUGUAACCGUUCCUUUUAUUGUAUUCAUGAGUUGAAUUGCAGUUAUUGUAGUUAUUUAAGAAACACCGCCUCCGUUCUGGAUGUUUUUUAUUUUCUGGAAAUCCUCGCUGCCUGUAAGUACGAUACACGUGCUUCUCUUCUAGACAAUGGCCGCGUUCACAAUCUCUGGGUUCUCACCUUCAGGAUGUGAUGACAGCCUGUUUUGGCACAGCGAUGCUUCUUGACUGCAAUGCCUCUUGAUUAAAACGCUGAGAGGCGACGCGGGGCGAGUUGCAUGUCUUUGACCUUAAAAAUGCUACAGAAAUGUCGAUAAGACGUCGUUCUUCACACUGAGGAAAAAGUUUAAACAAUAGCACACAUACAAUAGUGUAACAUUAUAUCCUAUCAUUACGCGGGAACAAGCUGCUUAAAUGAGUUCUUCCUUUUCAGACGGAUCAAAACCUCUGAUUAAUCAACUAUAUUUGUCCUCUGCUAUGAUUUUGGACCCGGACAUGGCAAUUGCAUGCGGUAAUUAACAUUAAAGCUCUUCAGCUCAUAUAAUCUUUCUAUUUAUGUUGCAAGUUUCACUCGGAUGGCAUUUUGUGGGGAUGAAAAGGAAAAGGAGGAAGAAGCUGCUCUCUUUUUGAGAAGGGUCAUUAAAGGUGUAAUCAUUGCCUAUUGUGAGCGUGAUGCAACCUCCACCAUGCAACACGUGACAUACCGACAAUUCUUUUUCACCAUGAUAAUCACGAGUGUUUUGAAAUGAAAGUAAUGUUCAUCUUUUCUCAGUUUUUCUCAAAUACAAAUUGCAUACAGCCAUGCAACGUAAAUGUAAAAUAUAGAUUAAUUUGCUGCACAGACAUUUAAGCAAACUACAUGUAUUUACAAAAUCUACAUCAACCUAAUAUCAGGGAGUUUUUUGGAGUAUUUUGAAGCAAAAGAAAGCCUUAUUUAACCAAGUUAGAUUUUAUUUUUU
This is a long non-coding RNA of Gasterosteus aculeatus aculeatus (three-spined stickleback), 1449 nucleotides long. The record is from Ensembl. Lineage: Eukaryota; Metazoa; Chordata; Actinopteri; Perciformes; Gasterosteidae.